RNAcentral lists this ribosomal RNA (250 nucleotides) under uncultured bacterium. RNAcentral describes it as "partial 16S ribosomal RNA". It matches the Rfam family "Bacterial small subunit ribosomal RNA", at positions 524 to 773 of the family's 1533-position model. The record is from RNAcentral.
UACGAAGGGUGCAAGCGUUACUCGGAAUUACUGGGCGUAAAGCGUGCGUAGGUGGUUUGUUAAGUCUGAUGUGAAAGCCCUGGGCUCAACCUGGGAAUGGCACUGGAUACUGGCAAGCUAGAGUGUGGCAGAGGGUAGUGGAAUUCCUGGUGUAGCAGUGAAAUACGUAGAUAUCUGGAAGAACACCAGUGGCGAAGGCGGUCUCUUGGUCCUAUACUGACGCUAAGGCGCGAAAGCGUGGGGAGCAAAC